RNAcentral lists this non-coding RNA (264 nucleotides) under Holzapfeliella floricola. RNAcentral's name for it is "Lactobacillus floricola T-box sequence". It matches the Rfam family "T-box leader". Rfam says of the family: Uncharged tRNA acts as the effector for transcription antitermination of genes in the T-box leader family. T-boxes are found upstream of many aminoacyl-tRNA synthetase genes and some amino acid biosynthetic genes usually in Gram-positive bacteria. Lineage: Bacteria; Bacillati; Bacillota; Bacilli; Lactobacillales; Lactobacillaceae. The record is from RNAcentral.
AAUUUUACUGAGAAAAGAUGAGUAAAUAUUUAUCUUAUUUUAACAGAGAGCCAUGUUAGGUGAAAGAUGGUAUUUAAGAAAAUAUUGAAGAUGGUCUUGGAGUAAGUUUAAAUUGUGAGCCAGUUAGGUUAGCAAUUUACGGGAUAACACACGUUACUGUGUUGAAGGAUAGCUACCAUGAGUGUCCGGAUCGAAGAUGGUGAUAAUAGCAUUGUAUAAUUAUCACUAAUAUAGGGUGGUACCGCGUUUAACAACGCCCCUAGG